UGCAGUCGAACGCGAAAUUUCCCUUCGGGGAGAAAGUAGAGUGGCGCACGGNCUGUNNUAACACGUAGGUAAUUUGCCUUUGGGUGGGGAAUAACUCAGGGAAACUUGAGCUAAUACCGCAUAAUGCAGCGGCUCGACAUCGAGACAGUUGUUAAAGCGGGGGAUUGGAGCAAUCCGACCUCGCGCCUAAAGAGAAGCCUGCGGCAGAUUAGCUAGUUGGUAAGGUAAUGGCUUACUAAGGCUACGAUCUGUAACCGGCCUGAGAGGGCGGUCGGUCACACUGACACUGACAUACGGGUCAGACUCCUACGGGAGGCAGCAGUCGGGAAUUUUGGGCAAUGGGCGAAAGCCUGACCCAGCAACGCCGCGUGAAGGAUGAAAUUUUUCGGAAUGUAAACUUCGCAAGAACAGGAAGAAUAAGUAGGGGACAAUACCCCCUACGAUGACGGUACUGUUUGUAAGCUCCGGCUAACUCCGUGCCAGCAGCCGCGGUAAUACGGGGGGAGCAAGCGUUGUUCGGAUUUACUGGGCGUAAAGGGCGCGUAGGCGGCGUGACAAGUCACUUGUGAAAUCUCCGGGCUUAACUCGGAACGGUCAAGUGAUACUGUCGUGCUAGAGUACAGAAGGGGCAACUGGAAUUCUCGGUGUAGCGGUGAAAUGCGUAGAUAUCGAGAGGAACACCUGCGGCGAAGGCGGGUUGCUGGGCUGAUACUGACGCUGAGGCGCGAAAGCCAGGGGAGCGAACGGGAUUAGAUACCCCGGUAGUCCUGGCCUUAAACGAAUGA
This 785-nucleotide ribosomal RNA is filed under the name uncultured bacterium. Its description in RNAcentral is "bacterial SSU rRNA". It matches the Rfam family "Bacterial small subunit ribosomal RNA", at positions 56 to 813 of the family's 1533-position model. The record is from RNAcentral.